GGUUGAUCCUGCCAGUAGUUAUAUGCUUGUCUCAAAGAUUAAGCCAUGCAUGUCUAAGUACACACUCUCGUAUAGUGAAACCGCAAAAGGCUCAGUAUAUCAGUUAUGGUUCAUUAGAUCGUGUUCAUAGUUACUUGGAUAACUGUGGUAAUUCUAGAGCUAAUACAUGUCAACAAUCACGGACCGCAAGGAACGUGUGCUUUUAUUAGAUUAAAACCAAUCGACACUUGUGUCGCCUUUUAAAUGAUUCUAGAUAACACGCUGAUCGCAUGGUCUCGCACCGGCGAUGGAU
RNAcentral lists this ribosomal RNA (292 nucleotides) under uncultured eukaryote. Its description in RNAcentral is "partial 18S ribosomal RNA". It matches the Rfam family "Eukaryotic small subunit ribosomal RNA", at positions 6 to 295 of the family's 1831-position model. The record is from RNAcentral.